AGAGUUUGAUCCUGGCUCAGAAUGAACGCUGGCGGCGUGCUUAACACAUGCAAGUCGAACGAGAAAGGGAUUGCUUGCAGUCCCGAGUAGAGUGGCGCACGGGUGAGUAACACGUAGAUAAUCUGCCUUCAAGCCUGGGAUAACUAUUCGAAAGGGUAGCUAAUACCGGAUAAAGUCGAUCUACACAAGUAGAUUGAUGAAAGAUUGCCUCUUCUUGAAAGCAAUUGUUUGGAGAUGAGUUUGCGUACCAUUAGCUUGUUGGUGGGGUAAAGGCCUACCAAGGCAACGAUGGUUAGCUGGUCUGAGAGGAUGAUCAGCCACACUGGAACUGGAACACGGUCCAGACUCCUACGGGAGGCAGCAGUGAGGAAUUUUGCGCAAUGGGGGCAACCCUGACGCAGCAACGCCGCGUGAGUGAAGAAGGCCUUUGGGUCGUAAAACUCUGUCAACAGGGAAGAAGUUACAAUUGUUUAAUAGAUGGUUGUAUUGACGGUACCUGUGGAGGAAGCGCCGGCUAACUCCGUGCCAGCAGCCGCGGUAAUACGGGGGGCGCAAGCGUUAUUCGGAAUUAUUGGGCGUAAAGGGCGCGCAGGCGGUCUUGUCCGUCAGGUGUGAAAGCUCGGGGCUCAACCCCGGAAGUGCACUUGAAACAGCAAGACUUGAAUACGGGAGAGGAAAGCGGAAUUCCUGGUGUAGAGGUGAAAUUCGUAGAUAUCAGGAGGAACACCGAUGGCGAAGGCAGCUUUCUGGACCGAUAUUGACGCUGAGGCGCGAAGGCGUGGGUAGCAAACGGGAUUAGAUACCCUGGUAGUCG
Molecule: ribosomal RNA, 814 nt
Filed under: uncultured bacterium
Lineage: Bacteria
Description: bacterial SSU rRNA
Rfam family: Bacterial small subunit ribosomal RNA
Source: RNAcentral